Molecule: non-coding RNA, 677 nt
Organism: Styela clava
Lineage: Eukaryota; Metazoa; Chordata; Ascidiacea; Stolidobranchia; Styelidae
Source: RefSeq, a predicted model, not a curated record
AUUGGAGAUCGUAUAGCGAUAUAUGUGAUCCUUGUCAUAUUCAAUAUGAUUACAUUGUUAAAUUAGAGACAAUUGCUUUGGAUUCUGAAUAUCUUGUUAAAAAAUUCGGAAUAAGUGAUGAUCUUCUUUUUGAACGCGAUUCGAAUUUAUCGGAGUCAUUGGGGCACAAGUGGAAAAGUAAAUACAGAACAUAUUUAGAAGGACUUCCUAUGAAAAAAUUGCAUGCUUUGUAUGAAACAUAUUGGGAACAAUAUAAGUUAUUUAAUUAUUCAACCCCCUCAUUCGUGGAAGUAUAAUGAAUGAAAAACUCAUGGAAAACAAAAUUUCCAUAACAAGUGAGGAUACAGAUAUCAAUUAAAAGCCAUUCAAGUUGAUGGGAACACAGGCUUAGGGGCGGACCUCAGGAGCCAUUAAGGUUGAACACAAACUCAUACUCCCGAAUUAGAAAUUAGUGCCCUUUCAUCACAAUUUGAGCGUUUUUAUAUACCAAUUCGAGUUUUCAGAUUUCUGAUUUUCUUUGUGUAUUUGUUUGUAUUUCAGUGUGAUUUGUUUGAAUACUCUUAAUAUGAAUCAAACUUAUCUGUGAGUGGAUGAUGAUGCCAAAAAUAUUUAAUGUCGUGACUCGUAUUGCAUUUUAUCUUCCUGGUACAUACAUACUGAAAAAAAUAAUAUCGAAU